GACGAACGCUGGCGGCGUGCUUAACACAUGCAAGUCGAACGGUGAACCUCUUCGGAGGGGAUCAGUGGCGAACGGGUGAGUAACACGUGGGCAACCUGCCCCCGGCUCUGGGAUAACUCCAAGAAAUUGGGGCUAAUACCGGAUGUUCACCGCUUCCCGCAUGGGUGGUGGUGGAAAGGGUUUCCGGCUGGGGAUGGGCCCGCGGCCUAUCAGCUUGUUGGUGGGGUAGUGGCCUACCAAGGCGACGACGGGUAGCCGGCCUGAGAGGGUGACCGGCCACACUGGGACUGAGACACGGCCCAGACUCCCACGGGAGGCAGCGGUGGGAAUAUUGCGCAAUGGGCGGAAGCCUGACGCAGCGACGCCGCGUGGGGGAUGACGGCCUUCGGGUUGUAAACCUCUUUCAGCAGGGACGAAGCGCAAGUGACGGUACCUGCAGAAGAAGCACCGGCCAACUACGUG
Molecule: ribosomal RNA, 462 nt
Filed under: uncultured bacterium
Lineage: Bacteria
Description: partial 16S ribosomal RNA
Rfam family: Bacterial small subunit ribosomal RNA
Source: RNAcentral